AUUAGGGUUCGAUUCCGGAGAGGGAGCCUGAGAAACGGCUACCACAUCCAAGGAAGGCAGCAGGCGCGCAAAUUACCCAAUCCCAAUACGGGGAGGUAGUGACAAUAAAUAACAAUAUGGGGCUCUUACGGGUCUCGUAAUUGGAAUGAGUACAAUUUAAAUCUCUUAACGAGGAACAAUUGGAGGGCAAGUCUGGUGCCAGCAGCCGCGGUAAUUCCAGCUCCAAUAGCGUAUAUUAAAGUUGUUGCAGUUAAAAAGCUCGUAGUUGAAUUUCGGAAUUUGUCGGUUGGUCGGGCUUCACUGUCCGCACUGACCUGAUGAAUUUCUACCUUCUGAAUAACCAGCAUGCUAUUUAGUUAGUGCGUUGGGGAAGCAGAGCUAUUACCUUGAAAAAAUUAGAGUGCUUAAAGCAGGCUUAUGCUUGAAUAGAUUAGCAUGGAAUAAUAAAAUAGGACGGCAUGGUUCUAUUUUGUUGGUUUCUAGGAUCACCGUAAUGAUUAAUAGGGAUAGUUGGGGGCAUUAGUAUUCAAUUGUCAGAGGUGAAAUUCUUGGAUUUAUUGAAGACUAACUUCUGCGAAAGCAUUUGCCAAGGAUGUUUUCAUUAAUCAAGAACGAAAGUUAGGGGAUCGAAGACGAUCAGAUACCGUCGUAGUCUUAACCAUAAACUAUGCCGACUAGGGAUCGGACGAUGUUAAUUUUUUAAUGACUCGUUCGGCGCCUUACGGGAAACC
RNAcentral lists this ribosomal RNA (731 nucleotides) under Acaulospora scrobiculata. RNAcentral's name for it is "SSU rRNA". It matches the Rfam family "Eukaryotic small subunit ribosomal RNA", at positions 369 to 1099 of the family's 1831-position model. The record is from RNAcentral. Lineage: Eukaryota; Fungi; Glomeromycota; Glomeromycetes; Diversisporales; Acaulosporaceae.